AUAGUGCAACAAUAUGGCGUAUUGAAUGUAGUCAUUCCAUAUGUGCAUAUUUGUUUAUAACAUUUCGUACCGAAAUUUGAAAGGGUCCCUUGGAUUAGAUAAGCACCAAUUAGCACCCUGGACAGCACAGGUUAAGAAAAUAUUCCAUCAAAUCGCAGGAUUGUGGAUGAUUGCUUUCUGAUGACACAGCUUCAACACGCUGGAGGAUAUCCUGGCAGACCAUGAUGGAACGCAACUCACCAUCGUGGAUGUGCCUGUUGUCAGCAGACUCUGUCAUUCUUUGUGGCUAAAAAUUCUCACCUGUAUAAAAAAAAAUGUUUGCAAGUGAGAAACAAUAUUAAGAACCAUUAUAUGAUUGUUCCUCUGUGUAUAAUUACAAACCCCUAAACAGGGUGCAAACACUUUAAAUAUAACAUUUUAGCACAUUAAGAAAAUGCAUUGCUUUUAAAAGGUUUUUUACCAAAUAAUUCUGCUGAGUGAAAGUUAUAAAGCAAUAUUGUAUAGUCCAAUGAUGGAUUGAUGCAUAGCUCGCAAAACAGUACAAUUUUCUAUUUAGAACCUUAGUUUGUAUUAGAAAAAUUAAAAGAAUUCCAUGUCAUUUUAUAUAUAAAUUCCUUCCUACAAGCAAAUCCACAAAGCGAUUUGGUCCAUUCUGGGUUUUUUUGCACUAAGGUAGACAGCCUCUAUUAAUUAUAAAAGAUUUCAACAUGGUAGGAAAACAAUAGGCCCAUGAACAACACCACUCACCUGGGCAGGUGCUUUUUACACUUCAAUUUUUUUUUUAUUAUUCCCCUUUCCAUUGUGCCCCCUGCCCUGGUGCAAAAAAAUGUAAUUCUACAUUUCAUAAGAAUGCUUGUGUGUAUCCACCUGACAAAACAUAGCCUUCAAAAUUUUCAAAAUAUUUAUUCCAAUAGAAAACUUCAAACCCUUUAUUUGGCCCUUUGAAACAUGGUAUGAACAAACUUGAAUCUUCGAUAUAAUUAGAAAGCUUUUGUGCAAAGUUUGGCUUUUAAAAUACACACAUACACACUACAAUGAAUAUUUUUUAAAAUACAUUCCACUCUGUUUCCAAGUAUAUGAAAUCAUAAAAAAUAUGAAUUAGGUUUUACUUAGAGUUGGCUCAUAUGUACAUUUAACAAUAGUCUAAAUGAAACUGAAAGCUCAAAUGGGCUGUUUAAUCUGAAAACCGACUAUAAAUAUAUUUACAAAUAGAUUUACAUAACUUAAUUUAAAUAAUAAAUAAUAUAUGCACAAGAUAAAUUUUCAGUACAUGCACUUACAUUGAACUACAUGAUCCAAUAUAACCGUACUGAUUAAAAAUUAAAUAUAAAUACUACUAAAAGUAGUGAGAAUUAUAAUAAACGUCAAGAUGUAUGCUUUUGAGCCACCCUAUACUUCUGAAACUAUAAACAAUGCUAGAAAGAAACUACAACACCAAAUCAAAUUCAACCAUAUGAAAUAAUUUCAUAUGAGACGAACUAUACUAUAUAAAUGCUGUGAUAUUUCAUUAUUCCACCCUUGCGUUACGGAACGGCUGACAAUAAAAUUUGGGUUGCUGAGCGCUUGAUGUACAACAAAGAAUGUACAUUUAUUCAACAUGGCGUACACGCUGUAUGAUGUACACAUAAAAUAUUACCAAUGAAAUGUUAAAAGCUUUAAGGCAUACAUUUGCAUCUGGCCCGCUAAUAUUUAAUAACAGAAUUCCUUGUCUCACCUCUUAUCCAUAUCUUUAGAAAUCAUGUUGUUUUUUUAAUUAAACACAUAAGCAGCAAAAUUCAGCAUGCAGCAGUGCGUACAAAAUUAAAGGGAAA
Long non-coding RNA from Ostrea edulis (European flat oyster), 1811 nucleotides. RefSeq lists it as uncharacterized. NCBI's taxonomy places the organism in Eukaryota, Metazoa, Mollusca, Bivalvia, Ostreida, Ostreidae. The transcript has 2 exons. The record is from RefSeq and is a predicted model, not a curated record.